This 516-nucleotide ribosomal RNA is filed under the name uncultured bacterium. Its description in RNAcentral is "partial 16S ribosomal RNA". It matches the Rfam family "Bacterial small subunit ribosomal RNA", at positions 28 to 523 of the family's 1533-position model. The record is from RNAcentral.
GACGAACGCUGGCGGCGUGCCUAACACAUGCAAGUCGAACGGAGAUUUCAGCAAUGGAAUCUUAGUGGCGAACGGGUGAGUAACGCGUAGACAACCUACCUUCUAGAUGGGGACAACACUGCGAAAGUGGUGCUAAUACCGAAUGUUGUAUGUGAAACGCCUGUUUCACAUACUAAAGGUGGCCUCUAUUUAUAAGCUACCACUAGAAGAUGGGUCUGCGUCUGAGUAGCUAGUUGGUGAGGUAAUGGCUCACCAAGGCGACGAUCAGUAGCCGGUCUGAGAGGAUGAACGGCCACACUGGGACUGAGACACGGCCCAGACUCCUACGGGAGGCAGCAGUGGGGAAUCUUCCGCAAUGGACGAAAGUCUGACGGAGCAACGCCGCGUGAGUGAAGAAGGUUUUCGGAUCGUAAAACUCUGUUUUCAGGGACGAAUGUGCAAUAUGUGAAUAAUGUGUUGUAAUGACGGUACCUGACAAGAAAGCCACGGCCAACUACGUGCCAGCCGCCGCAGUAA